CAUGGCUCCAAUGAAUCACCCAGCUCCAGUGGAAGUCACAUACGGGAACAUGAGAUUUCUUAUUAUACACAACCCAACCAAUUCGACCUUAAACAGAUUUUUAGAAGAACUUAAGAAAUACGGGGUUACCACAAUAGUAAGAGUAUGUGAAGCAACUGAUGACCCUGCUCUUGUGGAGAAAGAAGGCCAAUCCAGUUUCUGGAUUGGGCUUUUGAUGAUGGUUCAUCACCAUCCAACCAGAUUGUUGAUCACUGCUUAAGUCUUCUAGACGUUAAGUUUCGUGAAGAACCUGGUUGUUGUAUUGCCUUCACUGUGUUGCAGGUCUUGGGAGGACUCCAGUGCUUGUUGCCCUAGCAUUAAUUGAAAGUGGAAUGAAAAACGAAGAUGCAGUACGGUUUAUUAGAGAUAAACGGCACGGCGCUUUUAACAGCAAGCAACUUUUGUAUUUGGAGAAAUAUCAUUCUCAAAUGCGGCUUCG
Molecule: long non-coding RNA, 478 nt
Filed under: Homo sapiens (human)
Lineage: Eukaryota; Metazoa; Chordata; Mammalia; Primates; Hominidae
Description: non-protein coding lnc-CCDC81-1:2
Source: RNAcentral